UCUCUCUCUCUCGUGUAUAUAUAUAUUUAAAGAGAAAGAGAGGAGAGAAGAGGGAGGGUCGGAUAAAUGCUCGUGAACAAGCUCUUAUGGGUUCUUUUUUGGCAACUUCUUUAUUCCGCUUACUCUAAACUUGCCACCAAAGUUCCCUGUAAUUCUUUUUUUUGCUGCUUUUUAAGAAAUGCCAGUGGUGAUAUCCACGUAUUUCAUAUAUAAAAUCUGAAGUUUGAUAUUUCAACAAUUUUUUAUUAUAUUUCUUAAACAGAACGAACAGUGCUAUGGCGAUGGAAAUGCUUGGAAGGCUUGUGCUUUUGUGUUUGUUGUAUUUGUUUUUGAAUGAGCUGUCAAAAUAGUCCCCUAACUAUUUCCACGAGUCAUUCUAGAAUAUAUAAAAGUGUCAAAUUAAUCUCGAACUCUUUUUAUUGGAACUUAAAUAGUUUGGUGUGGUUGAUGAAUAAAUUCAACGUGGAAGGCGUUCUUGUUCCUAUACAAGAUGCUUCAGAGUUCUACUUUUCUCGAGCAAUUGCAAUGCAGCAACUUGGAUGGCCUAUGCUGCUGCAUUCAUGUCAUUGGUUGCGAAAAUGUGAUAACUCGUGUUUUUUUAUGGCAUCAAGGCAAAUAUGAGCUUCAUGUUUCCCAUUUUCUUUCCACUUUUGUCUUAGUGUCUUAUUUUUUACCCCUUUUUUACUGUAUUCAUCCUUGUACUGCAAGGUAAUGGACACCUAAACUAAAAUGCUAUGCAUAAAUACAUCAGUGAUGCUGGACUCCAGAAAAAAACUAUGGACUCAAAAGAAAACUUAGAGGAACUUCUGUUGGACUAUGAGGAAACAUGAUGGAAGGAAGGUCCCGCUUGAAGGAGAUUGCGGGACCUAUAGAGCUAGCUGAGCCAUGUUAACCGAGUUAAAAACUCAGAAGAGCUCACCCAAGGGAAGGGAAGGUAGGUUUCCCAAAACAUAUUCGACAAUCCAGCGGAGAUGAAAGCACAGCUGAUAGGAGGGCCGGCGGUAAUGAGACAGCAGGUUGUUAGUCUGUGCUUGUGCUCCUUAAGCUUCAUUAUGGAAAGCAAAAAUUGAGAGAGAUUUUAUUGCAGUUGAUUGACUCUUAUGUAAGUCUUCUUUCAUAUUGUACAGAUCGAGAAAAUAUUACAUCAGGACCCCAAAUACAGUUUGCGUUCGGAGUCCAAUGGCGGGGCGCCACAUAUCAAGUGGGUCCCACCGUAAUACAUUGGUUUUGGUCAGUGUUAAAAACGGUGGUGACCACUUGACACGUGUCGCCUCACCAUUGGAAUUCGAAUGCAUCAUGAGUCCUGAUGUAAUAUUUUUCCAGAUCAAGUCUCAUUAUCUCUACCGUUUAUUUUUAUCUUAUUUUUAUUAUUAUUAUGUUAUUGAUUCGAGCCUUCCUAUGUGCUUACUGGAAGUCUACUGAUUUCAAAAAUAUUGUGAUAUAAUAAUGAAGCGUUUACGUACAUAUCAAAUA
Molecule: long non-coding RNA, 1473 nt
Organism: Phalaenopsis equestris
Lineage: Eukaryota; Viridiplantae; Streptophyta; Magnoliopsida; Asparagales; Orchidaceae
Exons: 3
Source: RefSeq, a predicted model, not a curated record